RNAcentral lists this ribosomal RNA (481 nucleotides) under uncultured bacterium. Its description in RNAcentral is "partial 16S ribosomal RNA". It matches the Rfam family "Bacterial small subunit ribosomal RNA", at positions 28 to 507 of the family's 1533-position model. The record is from RNAcentral.
GAUGAACGCUGGCGGCGUGCUUAACACAUGCAAGUCGAACGAAGCAUUUAGAACAGAUUUCUUCGGUUUGAAGUUCUUUAUGACUGAGUGGCGGACGGGUGAGUAACGCGUGGGUAACCUGCCUUGUACUGGGGGAUAGCAGCUGGAAACGGCUGGUAAUACCGCAUAAGCGCACAAUGUUGCAUGACAUGGUGUGAAAAAGUCCGGUGGUAUAAGAUGGACCCGCGUCUGAUUAGCUAGUUGGUGAGAUAACAGCCCACCAAGGCGACGAUCAGUAGCCGACCUGAGAGGGUGACCGGCCACACUGGGACUGAGACACGGCCCAGACUCCUACGGGAGGCAGCAGUGGGGAAUAUUGCACAAUGGAGGAAACUCUGAUGCCGCGACGCCGCGCGAGUGAAGAAGUAAUUCGUUAUGUAAAGCUCUAUCAGCAGGGAAGAUAGUGACGGUACCUGACUAAGAAGCUCCGGCUAACUACGUG